Molecule: small nucleolar RNA, 129 nt
Organism: Nannospalax galili (Upper Galilee mountains blind mole rat)
Lineage: Eukaryota; Metazoa; Chordata; Mammalia; Rodentia; Spalacidae
Source: Ensembl
ACCUUCUGGUUUCCUUUCCCACUGGAUCUCAACACUGGUCUUGGUGGUCAUAAAGGACAAAGAGCAUGUUGAAGCUGGCCUAACAGCCUUGUAGACUGCUAUAAGCAUGAUGGCUAGAUUCAAAGAGGG